GGACUCCUCACAGCAGGAGCAGGAACUGUCUCUGACUCUGUGGCCUGCCUUAGGACCCUUUCACC
Molecule: microRNA precursor, 65 nt
Filed under: Mus pahari (shrew mouse)
Lineage: Eukaryota; Metazoa; Chordata; Mammalia; Rodentia; Muridae
Description: miRNA (MGP_PahariEiJ_G0007613.1)
Source: RNAcentral